This is a long non-coding RNA of Lycium barbarum (goji berry), 796 nucleotides long. RefSeq lists it as uncharacterized. Lineage: Eukaryota; Viridiplantae; Streptophyta; Magnoliopsida; Solanales; Solanaceae. The record is from RefSeq and is a predicted model, not a curated record. The transcript has 5 exons.
AUUGUUUGUACUGACGUCCUUCCUUUUAUGGACGCUGCGUUCAUGCCCGCAGGUAGACAGAGAGACGGACCGGAUACCUAGGAGCUCUAUCAACAGUCUUAUAGGAGCACUCCACUUCUCCGGAGUUGCCGCUUGUUGGGGAUCGAGCUGGAGCAGUAUAUGUCAAAUUAGCGAGUUGUCAUCUGAAGUUGGAUAGCAAACAUGAGGCUGCUAGUGCUUACGCUAAUGCUGCCCGUUGCUACAUGAAGACAGAUAUGACAGAGGCAAUAUCAUGUCUAGAGCAGGCAGCAGACAUGUUUCUGGACAUUGGAAGUGCAAAGCUGGAUGCAUGGAGUACAAAACUUCUCCUGAGAGUGAAGAAAGGGUUGAAGGCGAAGAAGCUAAAGGAAGAUGAUCUUACUCUCUUUUUUUUCUUUUUUUUUUUAUUCAACAUAGGAUUUUUAUUCAUCUUCAGCAAAAACUUGUACAUGAGAGGAUAGGGAGCUGUUAAAACAAAAGGUCCUUCCUCAAAAAGAAGAUUUUGAACCUAUCUUAAGAACAAGAAGAUGAGGUAAAUGCUACUCUGAAAGGAACACCCUAUACAUCUUGUGUUCCUUCAAAAAUUAUGUACAAUCUAGGUGGAUCAUAUACAAGCAUAGCAGGUUUCCUCUUUCUAAUCCUAAAGAAGCAAAUUCUCCAUAUAUCAGCAUUGAGAAGCCCUUUAAUUUCUCUCAGUAAGCUAUUUGAAGGUGGUGAGGAUCUUCAGUUGGUUUAGCUUGUGGUCCAUAAAGGUCAUUCUGUAGCAGUGAUUGGUACC